GCCCGGGUGGCUCAGUCGGUUGAGCGUCUGACUUCGUGAUCAGGUCAUGAUCUCACAAUUCGUGGGUUCGAGCCCCGCGUCGGGCU
RNAcentral lists this transfer RNA (86 nucleotides) under Felis catus (domestic cat). It matches the Rfam family "tRNA". Rfam says of the family: Transfer RNA (tRNA) molecules are approximately 80 nucleotides in length. Their secondary structure includes four short double-helical elements and three loops (D, anti-codon, and T loops). Further hydrogen bonds mediate the characteristic L-shaped molecular structure. tRNAs have two regions of fundamental functional importance: the anti-codon, which is responsible for specific mRNA codon recognition, and the 3' end, to which the tRNAs corresponding amino acid is attached (by aminoacyl-tRNA synthetases). tRNAs cope with the degeneracy of the genetic code in two manners: having more than one tRNA (with a specific anti-codon) for a particular amino acid; and 'wobble' base-pairing, i.e. permitting non-standard base-pairing at the 3rd anti-codon position. Lineage: Eukaryota; Metazoa; Chordata; Mammalia; Carnivora; Felidae. The record is from Rfam by way of RNAcentral.